Molecule: non-coding RNA, 246 nt
Organism: Vicia faba (fava bean)
Lineage: Eukaryota; Viridiplantae; Streptophyta; Magnoliopsida; Fabales; Fabaceae
Source: the annotation of a GenBank genome assembly
AUGCUGUUAGAAGUGGUUAGAAGAUUGACCUAUGCGGGGAGGUCUUCUCUUGCCACUUUUUCUCUCAACUUGGCAGGUUCACUGGGAACCGGAGAUGGUGGAUGUCUUCCUGGUAAUGGAAUUCGCAACAUCUGCAGUGCGAACACUUGGAGAUCUGUCGCCAAACCAUUCAUCCUUUUGAUAUCAGCUACCUCAACUCCCUACUUAAUUGUGACACCAGCAGGAGUAUCAAAUUUCGAAACAUAA